CCUACGGGCGGCAGCAGUGGGGAAUAUUGCACAAUGGGCGCAAGCCUGAUGCAGCCAUGCCGCGUGUGUGAAGAAGGCCUUCGGGUUGUAAAGCACUUUCAGCGGGGAGGAAGGCGGUGAGGUUAAUAACCUCAUCGAUUGACGUUACCCGCAGAAGAAGCAUCGGCUAACUCCGUGCCAGCAGCCGCGGUAAUACGGAGGGUGCAAGCGUUAAUCGGAAUUACUGGGCGUAAAGCGCACGCAGGCGGUCUGUCAAGUCGGAUGUGAAAUCCCCGGGCUCAACCUGGGAACUGCAUUCGAAACUGGCAGGCUAGAGUCUUGGAGAGGGGGGUAGAAUUCCAGGUGUAGCGGUGAAAUGCGUAGAGAUCUGGAGGAAUACCGGUGGCGAAGGCGGCCCCCUGGACAAAGACUGACGCUCAGGUGCGAAAGCGUGGGGAGCAAACAGGAUUAGAUACCCCAGUAGUC
RNAcentral lists this ribosomal RNA (465 nucleotides) under uncultured Klebsiella sp. RNAcentral's name for it is "bacterial SSU rRNA". It matches the Rfam family "Bacterial small subunit ribosomal RNA", at positions 338 to 795 of the family's 1533-position model. Lineage: Bacteria; Pseudomonadati; Pseudomonadota; Gammaproteobacteria; Enterobacterales; Enterobacteriaceae. The record is from RNAcentral.